ACGCUCGACACCUACGGGAGGAGCAGUGGGGAAUAUUGCACAAUGGGGGAAACCCGUGAUGCAGCGACGCCGCGUGGAGGAAGAAGGUCUUCGGAUUGUAAACUCCUGUUGUUGGGGAAAAAGAGGAUGGUACCCAACAAGGAAGUGACGGCUAACUACGUGCCUAGCAGCCGCGGUAAUCUGAGCGGGCUGGCAAGGC
Molecule: ribosomal RNA, 199 nt
Filed under: uncultured bacterium
Lineage: Bacteria
Description: partial 16S ribosomal RNA
Rfam family: Bacterial small subunit ribosomal RNA
Source: RNAcentral